Molecule: ribosomal RNA, 736 nt
Filed under: uncultured bacterium
Lineage: Bacteria
Description: bacterial SSU rRNA
Rfam family: Bacterial small subunit ribosomal RNA
Source: RNAcentral
GCGAAAGUUCCUUUCGGGGAGCGAGUAGAGUGGCGCACGUGUGAGUAACACGUAGGUAAUCUACCUUUGGAUUGGGAAUAACCACCGGAAACGGUGGCUAAUACCGAAUAAUGCAGCGGCACCUAAUGGUGACAGUUGUUAAAGCGGGGGAUCGCAAGACCUCGCGUCUAAAGAGGAGCCUGCGGCGGAUUAGCUAGUUGGUAAGGUAACGGCUUACCAAGGCGAUGAUCCGUAGCCGGCCUGAGAGGGCGGUCGGCCACACUGACACUGACAUACGGGUCAGACUCCUACGGGAGGCAGCAGUCGGGAAUUUUGGGCAAUGGGCGAAAGCCUGACCCAGCAACGCCGCGUGAAGGAUGAAAUCCCUCGGGAUGUAAACUUCGCAAGAACGGGAAGAAUAAGUCGGUGCCAACACCAUCGACGAUGACGGUACUGUUUGUAAGCUCCGGCUAACUCCGUGCCAGCAGCCGCGGUAAUACGGGGGGAGCAAGCGUUGUUCGGAUUUACUGGGCGUAAAGGGCGUGUAGGCGGCCACCGCAAGUCGACUGUGAAAUCUCCGGGCUUAACUCGGAAAGGUCAGCCGAUACUGCGGGGCUAGAGUGCAGAAGGGGCAACUGGAAUUCUCGGUGUAGCGGUGAAAUGCGUAGAUAUCGAGAGGAACACCUGCGGCGAAGGCGGGUUGCUGGGCUGACACUGACGCUGAAACGCGAAAGCUAGGGGAGCGAACGGGAUUAGA